Molecule: long non-coding RNA, 493 nt
Organism: Oncorhynchus tshawytscha (Chinook salmon)
Lineage: Eukaryota; Metazoa; Chordata; Actinopteri; Salmoniformes; Salmonidae
Source: Ensembl
GGAACUGCCCAGGGUGGCUGUGGGAACUGCCCAGGGGUGGUUGUGGGAACUGCCCAGGGUGGCUGUGGGAACUGCCCGGGGUGGCUGUGGGAACUGCCCGGGGUGGCUGUGGGAACUGCCCGGGGUGGCUGUGGGAACUGUUCCCUGACAUUUUGUCACUUCCUUUGAGACAGACAGAUCACAUGUCCCUCUGUGUCCUUUAGUCAAGAGGCAGAUCACAUGUCCCUCCUGUAGUCAAGAGGAGGAGGAAAGGCAGUGAAGUCCACCUGGUCAGGUGACUCAGGUUUAGGUUUUCCCUCCGAGAGCGUUGAUGCUAGCUAGAGGAAUGUGGUAAUCUCUCUGUAUGGAUCAGAGCUGGUAGUUCCUGACUGAACCUCUUUGACUGAACCAUUUUCAGCAACGGAACCCACAGGGAAGUAGUGCACUAUGUAGGGAAUAGGGUGUCAUGUGGGAUGGGAGUUUCUAUCUUUCCUGCGGGGGUUUCCUUAGUGAC